ACCAGACACAUACUCAGUACAUAUACAUAGGCAAAAUAUACAAAUGAGCAAAAAAAAAAAUUUUUUUUUUUAAGUUCUGAAAGGACAUAGAGGAAGGACUAAUGAUUCUGGGAAGAGAGUCAUCAUGUUCAUUUAUACAGCCACUACUAAGCCUACCAGUUUCCAUUAGAUAGCUCCAAACCCAUGUUCACACAGAUAUCCUGGUUAAAUCCAGUCAGUCUCCAAAUAGAACAGACAGAAAUAGGAAGGUUUGUAGGGACGAGGGGCUGUAGAGGCAGCUGGGAAGGAGAUAAGAGAAAGUGAGAGAUGAGAGCCAUCUAUGUGCUACAUACAUAUAUGAACUUGACAACACAUUUGAUUUAAGGUUUUCAUGGGAAGCCAAGCAUGGUAGCACAUUGUAACUCUAACACUUGGGAGGCUACAGCAGGAUUGUGGGUUUGAAGCCUCUUCAGGCUGCUUAAAAUGAUUCUUUCAACAAAGCAAGACAAAAAUUCUAAGAGGAAAAAUUUCCAGCCUAAAAUUUUGUACCCAACUCUUUCUGGGCUAAACUUUGUCCACUCAGAAUUUCUAUCUGUCCUCAUAAUGUGACUGUUUGGACAUAGGGCCCUUUACAAGGUAUAAUUAAGGGGAAAUGGGGUCCUAAUCCAAUCUAAUCUAUUUUCUAAUUUUCACAGGAAAGGGAAAUGUAACCAUGUAGAGGAAAGGCCAGGCACAGGCAGAAAAGGGCCAUUUUUCAAGCCAGAGGGGUCUGAAGACACCUUGGUCUCAGCUUCUCAUCUCCAGAAUGCUCAUAAAUUAAUGUGCUAUUUUAGCCACUAAGUCUAUGGUGACUGACAUGGCAGCUCUACCAGGCUGGCUCACUAGCUGAGCUACCAUCAGGUUCAACCAGGUUCAGAACAAAAGUAUUUUCUGACAUGUAAGCCCUCAAAACAAAGACACCUUUGAGAAGCUUUUCUUGGGACGCUACUUAACUAUUACCAUUUUAUAAUUUAUAAAGUACAAGAUAGACCUAACGCCCAGUCCAUCAUUUUUGUCAAUAAAAUGGAAGACUGUCAUCUAUCCUAACUUAAAAGACAUUCUACAGUAUACCUCACUGAAGAAAGGAAGUAGAAAUAGCUAGAGCCAGUGGCAACUCGCACUGCCUCCCAGCACUGAUGGGAGCCAGUCUGGGCUCUCGGUCAAGAAAAUGGCAAGUCCUAGCUUGAGAUAUACGUUCAAACAGACGAAAUUGGUCAAGUCUUGUGCUCAGAUGGAUGGAAGAGAGAGAAGUAGGACAGACAGAAGGCUGUGUGGCAGAGGCCUGCAUUCUAGAGCUCACAUAGGCUCUGCACUUCGGCGCUUGGCACAGAAGCAUGGAAUGACCUCAGGGUGCAGCAGGUGUGACGAUGUGUUUUAGAAGCUGCGACUAUCUUAGGAAACCAAGAGGUAACGUCGCAGAUACUGAGCAGUUAAAAGCAUGUCGGGUAAAACCUACUGUUUUUGUAGUGUUAAAGAAACAAAUCUGCUCAUGAAAGAAUUGAUUGUGAGUGUUCCUAACGCUGAUCGGAAUAUACAAAGGGUUUUGUUUGUUUGUUUGUUUGUUUGUUUUUAAGUGCAUCUUUUAAGCUAGGAAUUCCCUUCUAGAAAUAAAAAAAGACAAAACAAAACAAAAUCAGAGCUGUGUGCAGACAGUGAGCCACUAACCUCUGCAGUGCCAACCAGGAAGUAAGAGAAUUUAGAUUAGAAACUCACAGGUUUGAGAUUUAGGAGUUAAGUAAACACGUGCAGAAAAGUGAGUGGAAACACUCCUAUUUUGGGUUGUUGCAGUUGAGAGUGACUUUUUUCCUUGGAGCAUUGUGCUUACUUUUGAAUCAGUUGCUGUGGGGCUGGAGCCUUGGCAAAGCUCUGAGAGCACUGACAUCUUCUGAGAGUACUGACAUGGUGGCUCAAAAUCCUCUGCAACUUCAGUCCUAGGGGCAAUCUGGGGCCCCCUUCUGCAUAUUUUACACAGAUGUAUGCUGACAAAACACCUGUACACGC
RNAcentral lists this long non-coding RNA (2019 nucleotides) under Mus musculus (house mouse). RNAcentral describes it as "long non-coding RNA chr16:18831431-18833450". Lineage: Eukaryota; Metazoa; Chordata; Mammalia; Rodentia; Muridae. The record is from RNAcentral.